UGGGGAAUAUUGGACAAUGGGCGCAAGCCUGAUCCAGCCAUGCCGCGUGAGUGAUGAAGGCCCUAGGGUUGUAAAGCUCUUUCACCGGUGAAGAUAAUGACGGUAACCGGAGAAGAAGCCCCGGCUAACUUCGUGCCAGCAGCCGCGGUAAUACGAAGGGGGCUAGCGUUGUUCGGAUUUACUGGGCGUAAAGCGCACGUAGGCAGACUAUUAAGUCAGGGGUGAAAUCCCGGGGCUCAACCCCGGAACUGCCUUUGAUACUGGUAGUCUUGAGUUCGAGAGAGGUGAGUGGAAUUCCGAGUGUAGAGGUGAAAUUCGUAGAUAUUCGGAGGAACACCAGUGGCGAAGGCGGCUCACUGGCUCGAUACUGACGCUGAGGUGCGAAAGCGUGGGGAGCAAACAGG
RNAcentral lists this ribosomal RNA (404 nucleotides) under Actinomycetes bacterium. RNAcentral describes it as "Actinobacteria bacterium partial 16S ribosomal RNA". It matches the Rfam family "Bacterial small subunit ribosomal RNA", at positions 355 to 776 of the family's 1533-position model. The record is from RNAcentral. Lineage: Bacteria; Bacillati; Actinomycetota; Actinomycetes.